Molecule: signal recognition particle RNA, 97 nt
Filed under: Pseudomonas sp. SWRI51
Lineage: Bacteria; Pseudomonadati; Pseudomonadota; Gammaproteobacteria; Pseudomonadales; Pseudomonadaceae
Also listed under: 1 other name
Description: signal recognition particle sRNA small type
Rfam family: Bacterial small signal recognition particle RNA
About the family: The signal recognition particle (SRP) is a universally conserved ribonucleoprotein involved in the co-translational targeting of proteins to membranes.
Source: RNAcentral
CAUCGGUCCCCCCGCAUUGAUUACCCGUUUACCUGGUCAGGCCCGGAAGGGAGCAGCCAAGGCGGGGACAUUGAGUGCCGGGGUGUGGCUGGUGGGG